RNAcentral lists this transfer RNA (72 nucleotides) under Ovis aries (sheep). It matches the Rfam family "tRNA". From Rfam's summary of the family: Transfer RNA (tRNA) molecules are approximately 80 nucleotides in length. Lineage: Eukaryota; Metazoa; Chordata; Mammalia; Artiodactyla; Bovidae. The record is from Rfam by way of RNAcentral.
UCCCUGGUGGUCCAAUGGCAAAGACUCUGAGCUCCUGAUGCAGGGGGCCAGGAUUCAAUCCUGGUUAGGGAA